AACGAAUCGCCUUAGAGUUUGAUCAUGGCUCAGAUUGAACGCUGGCGGCAGGCCUAACACAUGCAAGUCGAGCGGUAGCACAGAGAGCUUGCUCUCGGGUGACGAGCGGCGGACGGGUGAGUAAUGUCUGGGAAACUGCCUGAUGGAGGGGGAUAACUACUGGAAACGGUAGCUAAUACCGCAUAAYGUCGCAAGACCAAAGUGGGGGACCUUCGGGCCUCAUGCCAUCAGAUGUGCCCAGAUGGGAUUAGCUAGUAGGUGGGGUAACGGCUCACCUAGGCGACGAUCCCUAGCUGGUCUGAGAGGAUGACCAGCCACACUGGAACUGAGACACGGUCCAGACUCCUACGGGAGGCAGCAGUGGGGAAUAUUGCACAAUGGGCGCAAGCCUGAUGCAGCCAUGCCGCGUGUAUGAAGAAGGCCUUCGGGUUGUAAAGUACUUUCAGCGGGGAGGAAGGCGAUAAGGUUAAUAACCUUGUCGAUUGACGUUACCCGCAGAAGAAGCACCGGCUAACUCCGUGCCAGCMGCCGCGGUAAUWCGGAGGGUGCAAGCGUUAAUCGGAAUUACUGGGCGUAAAGCGCACGCAGGCGGUCUGUCAAGUCGGAUGUGAAAUCCCCGGGCUCAACCUGGGAACUGCAUUCGAAACUGGCAGGCUAGAGUCUUGUAGAGGGGGGUAGAAUUCCAGGUGUAGCGGUGAGAUGCGUAGAGAUCUGGAGGAAUACCGGUGGCGAAGGCGGCCCCCUGGACAAAGACUGACGCUCAGGUGCGAAAGCGUGGGGAGCAAACAGGAUUAGAUACCCUGGUAGUCC
RNAcentral lists this ribosomal RNA (810 nucleotides) under uncultured microorganism. RNAcentral's name for it is "bacterial SSU rRNA". It matches the Rfam family "Bacterial small subunit ribosomal RNA", at positions 1 to 796 of the family's 1533-position model. The record is from RNAcentral.